RNAcentral lists this ribosomal RNA (417 nucleotides) under uncultured bacterium. RNAcentral's name for it is "bacterial SSU rRNA". It matches the Rfam family "Bacterial small subunit ribosomal RNA", at positions 954 to 1392 of the family's 1533-position model. The record is from RNAcentral.
GCAUAACGCGAAGAACCUUACCAACCCUUGACAUGGAGGGGACCGUUCCAGAGAUGGUUCUUUCACUUCGGUGACCCCUCACACAGGUGCUGCAUGGCUGUCGUCAGCUCGUGUCGUGAGAUGUUCGGUUAAGUCCGGCAACGAGCGCAACCCACACUUUCAGUUGCCAGCAUUCAGUUGGGCACUCUGAAAGAACUGCCGGUGAUAAGCCGGAGGAAGGUGUGGAUGACGUCAAGUCCUCAUGGCCCUUACGGGUUGGGCUACACACGUGCUACAAUGGCAGUGACAAUGGGCUAAUCCCAAAAAGCUGUCUCAGUUCGGAUUGGGGUCUGCAACUCGACCCCAUGAAGUCGGAAUCGCUAGUAAUCGCGUAACAGCAUGACGCGGUGAAUACGUUCCCGGGUCUUGUACACACCG